CAGAAAUGUUCACGACAUCGUCUCACGUCUUGGCUUUGUAGCUUCACAACAAAGUCGGCCGCUGGAGUUCCUGUGAUCUUCAUGAUUUCUCUCAGCUGGUCCAGGUCUGACGUUAGCAAAGGUCAAGGGUCAAUCUGUACGAAGACCAAGGAUACGGUCGUUUCCCUUGAACAGCGGUUUUCCCAGCAGCAUCUCGGCCAUGAUGCAGCCCGCGGACCAGAUAUCCACUGUGAACAACACGGAACACACACACGUCAGCUACGCGUCUGGUGACACCUGCUGGUGAGGCUGGAGGAAGUGAAACUGCGGCUGUACCAGUCUGAGUGUAGUGCAUCCAGUUGAGGAUGACCUCUGGUGCCCUGUACCAGCGAGUCACAACGUAGCCGGUCAUUUCUGCGUCCGCCUGCCUCGCCAGGCCGAAGUCAAGGAUCUACAUCGGGGAGUAGACGAAAACAACAAACAACAAAAUAGGUCAAAGGUCACGCGGUCCUGGACGGACCCUCACCGUUCUGAUUGUAGUGCAUCCAGUUCAGCAUGAUCUCCGGCGCCCGGUACCAACGAGUCGCCACGUAGCCCGUCAUCUCAUCGUUGGUCUGCCGGGCCAGGCCGAAGUCCAGGAUCUGGAGGAGGGAGAGUACUGGGAGUACUGCGAUGGUCCUGGAAACAGGAGAAGAAGACAGAGUAGGACAAAAUACUACACAGGAAUACUACACAAGAAUACUACACGGGUAUUUCGGGAGUCUCCAACAGUUUUAACGUCAUUUCUUCGAGCUACGACGUAGUGUAAAAUUCUUACAAAUCAGCCAGACCUUGAACAUGUUGGCAGGAAACAGGAA
Molecule: long non-coding RNA, 836 nt
Organism: Cynoglossus semilaevis (tongue sole)
Lineage: Eukaryota; Metazoa; Chordata; Actinopteri; Pleuronectiformes; Cynoglossidae
Exons: 4
Source: RefSeq, a predicted model, not a curated record